Non-coding RNA from Pelobates cultripes (western spadefoot toad), 428 nucleotides. NCBI's taxonomy places the organism in Eukaryota, Metazoa, Chordata, Amphibia, Anura, Pelobatidae. The record is from the annotation of a GenBank genome assembly.
CAUAGAAAAGAGGGAAAAGUGACUGCCCUAAGACAGGUAGCGAGUGAAAAAAAAGAGAGAAGAAAAAUAGCAGAGAAUGAACAAAGAAAGACAAAAUCAAAACAGAGUGGAAGAGAAAGCAAGAGAGAGCAAAAAGAGAGGCAAGAACACAAGAACAUGAUAGAGAAAAGUAGAAAAAAACACCAUCAGGAUUGGCAGAAACAAUGAGAGAUAGCAUUAAGAGAGAUGGUAAAUACAAUAAGAGACAGCACUAAGUGAGUCAUUGAAUACAAUGAGAGAUAUCAUCAGAAGAAUGCAGACACAAAGAGAAAUAGCAUCAGGGUAGAAGGCAAAAUCCAUAAACAUGUUGGGGCAGAGGGUGCUUUGAGGACUGAAGACCUGGAUGUGGAGCUAUUUAGUCCCAGAUCUCAACACGUAGUGGAAUUGGC